This is a long non-coding RNA of Protopterus annectens (West African lungfish), 609 nucleotides long. RefSeq lists it as uncharacterized. The record is from RefSeq and is a predicted model, not a curated record. The transcript has 3 exons. NCBI's taxonomy places the organism in Eukaryota, Metazoa, Chordata, Ceratodontiformes, Protopteridae.
UUAAAUUAGGGCAGAAAAAGCAGAUAUGAAUAUGUAUAAAACAGAGCCACACUGGAGAAUCAUUAAGUAAGAAAUGUAUUAUAAAGAUGAAGCUAACUGAAGGCAAAUUACAUUGGAAAUUUCAAGUAACACUGUGGCAUCACCCUCCAUUGCUACUAUAUCCAGUUCAAGGUGUUCCUAGCUGCUCAUUGUGCAAGUAACAGAAACAAGUGCUGACAGACCCACUAAGGCACACACAACUGUAAUUAAAGAAACAAGUAGUAUCAGGAGAGGGGUUCAAAAACAUCAGAACAAGGACACCUGUAUCAGAAAAGGACUAUGUGGUGCUCAUAGUUUGCCAAUUUCCCUACUUGCUGGCCAAAAUGUUUGAAUUUAAUAUUGUCAAAAUCUUGUAUUUUGUGACAUUAUGGAGUUUUCCUCGUUUGACCCAAAUCUUAAUUUGCAGAUAUUGUAAUUAUUGACCUACUUUACAUGUCAUUCUAUCCUUCUCUGCCAGUUAGUGAAAACAAAAAAAUCCACAAAUGCAUGUUUCUCUACACAGGCUUUUAACUUCACUGUUUGGUUUCAAUUUGUGUCUUGUUUCUGUUAAAUAAACUUUCAGGCAAAGAG